Non-coding RNA from Podarcis muralis (Common wall lizard), 1456 nucleotides. Lineage: Eukaryota; Metazoa; Chordata; Lepidosauria; Squamata; Lacertidae. The record is from RefSeq and is a predicted model, not a curated record.
GAGGCAACUCGAAAACGGAAAACUCUUUCGUCUAGCGAGUUUUUUGUCUUGCGAGGCAUUCGUCUUGCGAGGUACCACUGUAUUACUCUUACGGGCAACGUCCUGACACUUGCAGCCCAGCUAUUGAUUGACAGGUCAAGUUCAAUUACAUGGGACCUGUGGAAGUUUCCAUGGGGAAGUGUUUUGCUUCCGGGUGUUUUUUUCAGGUCCUGUUUCCUGCAGAGGCCUUUAUGGAAUGCCUCCAAAGUCAUACCAAACUCAUUCUCUCAUUCUCUUCCUUAUGUGGCAAAAAACCGACAAAAGGCACACACUGUCUAGUCACAGGAGGGAGGUCUGCUUAGGGUUGGGGAAGCCCCUAGGUGCACAGAAUAACAAAAAAGCUUUAGGCAAGAUGCUGAGGCCACAGGAGCUGCAGGGGAGAAAAUGGUAUUUCUGUGCAAUGGAGUAUCCUGGAAAAGGGUAUGACUGGCUGGCUGCCCUAUACAUGAGUGGUCCAUACUGCAACAUUUUGAUGUGUCCAACUGACAUUAAAAAAGAAAGAACAUGAAACACGAAAGUGCAGGAAUGAACGUGAAGAUGAAAUCAUUCAAAGUUCUACCCCAAAAUGAACUUAAUUCACCUUCAGUUUACCUGGCAACUCUGGGAACUACUCUCAGAAGUAGUUCAAGAGUUUUGAACUGGUUCAGUUAGGUGCCACAAUGGAACAGGCUCUCUGAUUCUUGGGGAUCGCAAUGUGUCCAUUCUGUUAUAUGCUGAUGACCUAGUUUUGUUUUCUGUGAACAAAAUUGGACUUUGCAGGUCCCAAUAAUAUCAGUAGCCUGCUCCUGAGUAACUUGGAGAAGAGUUUUCAGGGAGGAGGUCCCUGUUUUGUGGAACAGCAGUAUUCCUGUUGAGAUACGGUGGUCAGGCACUCUUUGUACUUACUGGAAACUAGACCAUGGUGCCAGCCAAGAACAAGCAUCCAUUAUCACAGGCUGUUAUUCUAUUUCAUCCCCUCAAAUCAAGGACAACAAUUCAGGGCUUCACUACCUUGAGAUGCUGGCUUUUCUGCAAUUACGUUGAGCCCUUGUUGAACUUAGGUUUCAACAGAUGCCCUCAGCAUACUUGGUUGGAAUAGCACACAUGGAAUGGCAUUUUUGGAUGUCAUCAGGUUGCAGAUGCACUGCUUGUAGAUUUGCCCUUUACAUAUGGUGUCCAGAGAAAUUUUUAAAUUCUCUAUUGGUUCUCAAAUUGAUCCUCCCAGGAAGUGAUAGUUGAAUUCUUAGCCAAUAAAUACAGAUCUGGUAGCCAUAUUUGCUCUAGCACCUAAGAAGCUUCAUUCCAGUUAUGUUAAUGCUUUGUAAUUUUCAGUUUUUAUGCUGUAAAUGUUGUGUGAUUUUAGAGGAAUGUUUUGCUUUUUAUCCUCUUUGUUCAUUGUGAAGGCCUUUGGUGAUAUACAAUAAAUUGAAAUGAAUGA